Molecule: transfer RNA, 67 nt
Filed under: Pityogenes trepanatus
Lineage: Eukaryota; Metazoa; Arthropoda; Insecta; Coleoptera; Curculionidae
Description: tRNA-Phe
Source: RNAcentral
AUUUUUAUAGCUUAAGAAUAGAGCAUUGUAUUGAAGAUACAGGGGUAAUAUUUUAUAUUUAAAAAUA